Molecule: ribosomal RNA, 792 nt
Filed under: uncultured bacterium
Lineage: Bacteria
Description: bacterial SSU rRNA
Rfam family: Bacterial small subunit ribosomal RNA
Source: RNAcentral
GUCGAACGAGUUCUCGUUGAAUCUCGGUGCUUGCACCGAGAUUCAACAUGGAACGAGUGGCGGACGGGUGAGUAACACGUGGGUAACCUGCCCUUAAGUGGGGGAUAACAUUUGGAAACAGAUGCUAAUACCGCAUAGAUCCAAGAACCGCAUGGUUCUUGGCUGAAAGAUGGCGUAAGCUAUCGCUUUUGGAUGGACCCGCGGCGUAUUAGCUAGUUGGUGAGGUAAUGGCUCACCAAGGCGAUGAUACGUAGCCGAACUGAGAGGUUGAUCGGCCACAUUGGGACUGAGACACGGCCCAAACUCCUACGGGAGGCAGCAGUAGGGAAUCUUCCACAAUGGACGCAAGUCUGAUGGAGCAACGCCGCGUGAGUGAAGAAGGCUUUCGGGUCGUAAAACUCUGUUGUUGGGGAAGAAUGGUCGGCAGAGUAACUGUUGUCGGCGUGACGGUAUCCAACCACAAAGCCACGGCUAACUACGUGCCAGCAGCCGCGGUAAUACGUAGGUGGCAAGCGUUAUCCGGAUUUAUUGGGCGUAAAGCGAGCGCAGGCGGUUUUUUAAGUCUGAUGUGAAAGCCCUCGGCUUAACCGAGGAAGCGCAUCGGAAACUGGGAAACUUGAGUGCAGAAGAGGACAGUGGAACUCCAUGUGUAGCGGUGAAAUGCGUAGAUAUAUGGAAGAACACCAGUGGCAAAUGCGGCUGUCUGUCUGUAACUGACGCUGAGGCUCGAAAGCAUGGGUAGCGAACAGGAUUAGAUACCCUGGUAGUCCAUGCCGUAAACGAUGAAUGCUA